RNAcentral lists this ribosomal RNA (460 nucleotides) under uncultured bacterium. RNAcentral describes it as "partial 16S ribosomal RNA". It matches the Rfam family "Bacterial small subunit ribosomal RNA", at positions 338 to 795 of the family's 1533-position model. The record is from RNAcentral.
CCUACGGGAGGCAGCAGUGAGGAAUAUUGGUCAAUGGACGAGAGUCUGAACCAGCCAAGUAGCGUGAAGGAUGACUGCCCUAUGGGUUGUAAACUUCUUUUAUAAAGGAAUAAAACGAGGCACGUGUGCCUUUGUGCAUGUACUUUAUGAAUAAGGAUCGGCUAACUCCGGGCCAGCAGACGCGGUAAUACGGAGGAUACGAGCGUUAUCCGGAUUUAUUGGGUUUAAAGGGAGCGUAGAUGGGUUGUUAAGUCAGUUGUGAAAGUUUUCGGCUCAACCGUAAAAUUUCAAUUGAUACUGGCAGUCUUGAGUACAGUUGAGGUAAGCGGAAUUCGUGGUGUAGCGGUGAAAUGCUUAGAUAUCACGAAGAACCCCGAUUGCGAAGGCAGCUUACUAAACUGUGACUGACAUUGAUGCUCGAAAGUGUGGGUAUCAAACAGGAUUAGAUACCCGUGUAGUC